Molecule: long non-coding RNA, 998 nt
Filed under: Gallus gallus (chicken)
Lineage: Eukaryota; Metazoa; Chordata; Aves; Galliformes; Phasianidae
Source: RNAcentral
CUCAAGCGCUUGCAAGCACUCCCUGCAAACAGCAGCAAUCUGUGCUUCAUCCAUACAUGUUUCCGUAACCACAUCUGUUAGUGAGCCUCCAGCUAGAUACUCCAUCACCACAAACAGUUCAUCUCCUACGAGGUAACUGUCCAGGAAGUUGACUAUGUUGGGGUUCUUUAGUUCCUUCAUUACCAAGAUCUCAUUAAUAAUCAACUCCUUCUUGGGCUGUUUCUGCAGGUUUAUCUGUUUGAUAGCAACCUCCUGCCCAGUAGCCACGUCAAUAGCUGUGAAAACUGUACCUGAAGCCCCCUGCCCAAUUUUUUCAUAUCUGGUGUAUUUUUUCUUGGGAUCACCUAUGCUCACAAUGGUACGUAGUUUUUCCAUGAUCUCUUCAUCUGACAUUUUGGUCUUCUUUUUCUGCUUAUCACCUGACUUUGUCCCACCAUCAACAGAAGCGUCACCAGCUGGUGCAGGGAUGGGGUCAAUUACAGACCGUGUAUAAAUCGAUUUCGUGUGAUCUGGCCGCGGAGCAAUAAUAGGAGGAGGUGCUUCUUCAUCAUCGUCAUCGUCAUCUGCCACAGCUGUUGAUGGCUCUGAACCUUUGGCAUUGGUCGUUGGUGUUCCUGAAGGGAAGCCAUCUUUUUCUGGAGCAGAAAAGCUCAGAUAUUUCUGUUUUGCUGUGUCUUUGGAGUCGUAGAAUUUCAGCACAUCUAGUACCGCCUGAGGGUUUUUCUUCUGUUCUAACUUGGUGAUGUUUGAGGUCUGUAGCAACCGAGCCCAUUGCUCUGGCAUUCCAGUGAACUCUCCAGUGACAGCAUCAAAGCCAACAUGGAUAGUAUGCUCAAAGUCUGACGGCGGGGAGAUUUCUGGUCGUUCCUUUUCCUUCUUCUUGCUUCCUUUUUCAGUGCUAGAGAAUAUGGAGAUGAUUUUAUUCCUAGGUUUUCUCUCUUCUGGUACGGAGGGCAGAGGUUUCAAGCUGUGGUUGGCAGACAACGGGUCCUUUCCCC